This 538-nucleotide ribosomal RNA is filed under the name uncultured bacterium. RNAcentral describes it as "bacterial SSU rRNA". It matches the Rfam family "Bacterial small subunit ribosomal RNA", at positions 777 to 1322 of the family's 1533-position model. The record is from RNAcentral.
AAUAGAUACCCAGGUAGUCCACGCCGUAAACGUUGGGAACUAGGUGUGGGUCUCAUUCCACGAGAUCCGUGCCGCAGCUAACGCAUUAAGUUCCCCGCCUGGGGAGUACGGCCGCAAGGCUAAAACUCAAAGGAAUUGACGGGGGCCCGCACAAGCGGCGGAGCAUGCGGAUUAAUUCGAUGCAACGCGAAGAACCUUACCAAGGCUUGACAUGAACCGGACCGCUGCAGAAAUGUGGUUUCCCCUUUGGGGCUGGUUUACAGGUGGUGCAUGGUUGUCGUCAGCUCGUGUCGUGAGAUGUUGGGUUAAGUCCCGCAACGAGCGCAACCCUCGUUUUGUGUUGCCAUUUUAGGGAAACUCAAAAGACUGCCGGUGAGAAGCCGGAGGAAGGUGAGGAUGACGUCAAGUCAGCAUGCCCCUUACGUCCUGGGCGACACACGUGCUACAAUGGCCGGGACAAAGAGAUGCAAUCCCGCGAGGGUUAGCCAACCUCAAAACCCGGUCUCAGUUCGGAUUGCAGGCUGCAACUCGCUGCAUG